GGUCGCCUCACCGCGAGUACUGGUCCGGCUGGACCUUUCCUUCUGGGGAACCUCAUGGCCUUCACUGGCUGUGGGGGGAACCAGGACUUUUACUGUGAAAAAAUUAGAGUGUUCAAAGCAGGCCUUUGCUCGAAUACAUUAGCAUGGAAUAAUAGAAUAGGACGUGUGGUUCUAUUUUGUUGGUUUCUAGGACCGCCGUAAUGAUUAAUAGGGAUAGUCGGGGGCGUCAGUAUUCAGCUGUCAGAGGUGAAAUUCUUGGAUUUGCUGAAGACUAACUACUGCGAAAGCAUUCGCCAAGGAUGUUUUCAUUAAUCAGGGAACGAAAGUUAGGGGAUCGAAGACGAUCAGAUACCGUCGUAGUCUUAACCAUAAACUAUGCCGACUAGGGAUCGGACGGGAUUCUAUAAUGACCCGUUCGGCACCUUACGAGAAAUCAAAGUUUUUGGGUUCUGGGGGGAGUAUGGUCGCAAGGCUGAAACUUAAAGAAAUUGACG
Molecule: ribosomal RNA, 494 nt
Filed under: Trichocomaceae sp.
Lineage: Eukaryota; Fungi; Ascomycota; Eurotiomycetes; Eurotiales; Trichocomaceae
Description: SSU rRNA
Rfam family: Eukaryotic small subunit ribosomal RNA
Source: RNAcentral